GGGCGAGUGGCGGAAUUGGUAGACGCGCUAGGUUCAGGGUCUAGUGACCGAGAGGUCGUGGGGGUUCGAGUCCCCCCUCGCCCA
RNAcentral lists this transfer RNA (84 nucleotides) under Rubrobacteraceae bacterium. Its description in RNAcentral is "tRNA-Leu". It matches the Rfam family "tRNA". Rfam says of the family: Transfer RNA (tRNA) molecules are approximately 80 nucleotides in length. RNAcentral also lists the same sequence under 1 other name. The record is from RNAcentral. Lineage: Bacteria; Bacillati; Actinomycetota; Rubrobacteria; Rubrobacterales; Rubrobacteraceae.